UACGGAGGGGGCGAGCGUUAUUCGGAAUUAUUGGGCGUAAAGGGCGCGUAGGCGGCUUGACAAGUCAAAGGUGAAAUCCCUCGGCUCAACUGAGGAACUGCCUUUGAAACUGUCUGGCUUGAGGCCGAGAGGGGGUAGCGGAAUUCCCAGUGUAGCGGUGAAAUGCGUAGAUACUGGGAGGAACACCAAUGGCGAAGGCAGCUCUCUGGGACGGUACUGACGCUGAGACGCGAAAGCGUGGGGAGCGAACAGG
Molecule: ribosomal RNA, 253 nt
Filed under: uncultured bacterium
Lineage: Bacteria
Description: partial 16S ribosomal RNA
Rfam family: Bacterial small subunit ribosomal RNA
Source: RNAcentral